CCUACGGGUGGCAGCAGUGAGGAAUAUUGGUCAAUGGGCUUACGCCUGAACCAGCCAAGUCGCGUGAGGGAAGACUGCCCUAUGGGUUGUAAACCUCUUUUGUCAGGGAGUAAUUGGCGCUACGUGUAGCGUUAUCGAGAGUACUUGAAGAAAAAGCAUGGGUUAACUCCGUGCCAGCAGCCGCGGUAAUACGAAUGGGGCAAGCGUUAUCCGGAUUUAUUGGGUGUAAAGGGAGCGAAGGCGGGAGUGCAAGCCUGAUGUGAAAGCUCGGGGCUCAACCCCGGGAGUGCAUUGGGAACCGCGCGACGCGAGUGCAGAAGAGGCAAGCGGAACUCCAGGUGUAGCGGUGGAAUGCGUAGAUAUAAGGAAGAACACCAGUGGCGAAGGCAGCAGUCCGG
This 398-nucleotide ribosomal RNA is filed under the name uncultured bacterium. RNAcentral describes it as "partial 16S ribosomal RNA". It matches the Rfam family "Bacterial small subunit ribosomal RNA", at positions 338 to 732 of the family's 1533-position model. The record is from RNAcentral.